UACGAAGGGGGCUAGCGUUGCUCGGAAUUACUGGGCGUAAAGGGCGCGUAGGCGGACAGUUAAGUCAGAGGUGAAAGCCCAGGGCUCAACCCUGGAAUUGCCUUUGAUACUGGCUGUCUUGAGUGCGGGAGAGGUGUGUGGAACUCCGAGUGUAGAGGUGAAAUUCGUAGAUAUUCGGAAGAACACCAGUGGCGAAGGCGACACACUGGCCCGUAACUGACGCUGAGGCGCGAAGGUCAGGGGAGCAAACGGG
This 253-nucleotide ribosomal RNA is filed under the name uncultured bacterium. RNAcentral's name for it is "partial 16S ribosomal RNA". It matches the Rfam family "Bacterial small subunit ribosomal RNA", at positions 524 to 776 of the family's 1533-position model. The record is from RNAcentral.